UACAUGGGGUGCAACCGUUGCUCGGAAUCAUUGGGCGUAAAGCGCGCGUAGGCGGUUACUUAAGUCGAAUGUGAAAGCCCUCGGCUUAACUGAGGAAGUGCAUCCGAAACUGAGUAGCUAGAGUACGAAAGAGGGUCGCGGAAUUCCCGGUGUAGAGGUGAAAUUCGUAGAUAUCGGGAGGAACACCAGUGGCGAAGGCGGCGACCUGGGCCAAUACUGACGCUGAGGUGCGAAAGCGUGGGGAGCAAACAGG
Molecule: ribosomal RNA, 253 nt
Filed under: uncultured bacterium
Lineage: Bacteria
Description: partial 16S ribosomal RNA
Rfam family: Bacterial small subunit ribosomal RNA
Source: RNAcentral